CCUACGGGUGGCAGCAGUGAGGAAUAUUGGUCAAUGGGCGAGAGCCUGAACCAGCCAAGUCGCGUGAGGGAGUACUGCCCUAUGGGUUGUAAACUUCUUUUAUAAAGGAAUAAAGUGAGGCACGUGUGCCUUUUUGUAUGUACUUUAUGAAUAAGGAUCGGCUAACUCCGUGCCAGCAGCCGCGGUAAUACGGAGGAUCCGAGCGUUAUCCGGAUUUAUUGGGUUUAAAGGGAGCGUAGAUGGGUUGUUAAGUCAGUUGUGAAAGUUUGCGGCUCAACCGUAAAAUUGCAAUUGAUACUGGCAGCCUUGAGUACAGUUGAGGUAGGCGGAAUUCGUGGUGUAGCGGUGAAAUGCUUAGAUAUCACGAAGAACUCCGAUUGCGAAGGCAGCUUACUAAACUGCCACUGACAUUGAUGCUCGAAAGUGUGGGUAUCAAACAGGAUUAGAUACCCUAGUAGUC
This 460-nucleotide ribosomal RNA is filed under the name uncultured bacterium. RNAcentral's name for it is "partial 16S ribosomal RNA". It matches the Rfam family "Bacterial small subunit ribosomal RNA", at positions 338 to 795 of the family's 1533-position model. The record is from RNAcentral.